This 236-nucleotide ribosomal RNA is filed under the name uncultured Staphylococcus sp. RNAcentral describes it as "partial 16S ribosomal RNA". It matches the Rfam family "Bacterial small subunit ribosomal RNA", at positions 104 to 334 of the family's 1533-position model. Lineage: Bacteria; Bacillati; Bacillota; Bacilli; Caryophanales; Staphylococcaceae. The record is from RNAcentral.
GGGUGAGUAACACGUGGAUAACCUACCUAUAAGACUGGGAUAACUUCGGUAAACCGGAGCUAAUACCGGAUGAUAUUUUGAACCGCAUGGUUCAAAAGUGAAAGACGGUCUUGCUGUCACUUAUAGAUGGAUCCGCGCUGCAUUAGCUAGUUGGUAAGGUAACGGCUUACCAAGGCAACGAUGCAUAGCCGACCUGAGAGGGUGAUCGGCCACACUGGAACUGAGACACGGUCCAG